AACGAACGCUGGCGGCAUGCCUAACACAUGCAAGUCGAACGAGACCUUCGGGUCUAGUGGCGCACGGGUGCGUAACGCGUGGGAACCUGCCCUUAGGUUCGGAAUAACUCCCCGAAAGGGGUGCUAAUACCGGAUAAUGUCUUCGGACCAAAGAUUUAUCGCCCUUGGAUGGGCCCGCGUUGGAUUAGCUAGUUGGUAGGGUAAAAGCCUACCAAGGCGACGAUCCAUAGCUGGUCUGAGAGGAUGAUCAGCCACACUGGGACUGAGACACGGCCCAGACUCUUACGGGAGGCAGCAGUGGGGAAUAUUGGAAAAUGGGCGAAAGCCUGAUCCAGCAAGGCCGGGUGAGUGAUGAAGGCCUUAGGGUUGUAAAGCUCUUUUACCCGGGAUGAUAAUGACAGUACCGGGAGAAUAAGCACCGGCUAACUCCGUG
RNAcentral lists this ribosomal RNA (433 nucleotides) under uncultured bacterium. RNAcentral describes it as "partial 16S ribosomal RNA". It matches the Rfam family "Bacterial small subunit ribosomal RNA", at positions 29 to 507 of the family's 1533-position model. The record is from RNAcentral.